This 292-nucleotide ribosomal RNA is filed under the name uncultured prokaryote. RNAcentral's name for it is "partial 16S ribosomal RNA". It matches the Rfam family "Bacterial small subunit ribosomal RNA", at positions 505 to 796 of the family's 1533-position model. The record is from RNAcentral.
GUGUCAGCCGCCGCGGUAAUACGAAGGGGGCUAGCGUUGUUCGGAAUUACUGGGCGUAAAGUGCACGUAGGCGGAUAUUUAAGUCAGGGGUGAAAUCCCAGAGCUCAACUCUGGAACUGCCUUUGAUACUGGGUAUCUUGAGUAUGAAAGAGGUGUGUGGAAUUCCGAGUGUAGAGGUGAAAUUCGUAGAUAUUCGGAGGAACACCAGUGGCGAAGGCGGCUCACUGGUCCAUUACUGACGCUGAGGUGCGAAAGCGUGGGGAGCAAACAGGAUUAGAUACCCUCGUAGUCC